GGGUUCAUGGUGUAGUUGGUUAUCACACACGCUUUGCAUUUAUAAGAUUGCGUGGGGUCCGGGGUUCGAUUCCCCGUGGAUCCA
Pneumocystis jirovecii is the source of this 84-nucleotide transfer RNA. It matches the Rfam family "tRNA". From Rfam's summary of the family: Transfer RNA (tRNA) molecules are approximately 80 nucleotides in length. Their secondary structure includes four short double-helical elements and three loops (D, anti-codon, and T loops). Lineage: Eukaryota; Fungi; Ascomycota; Pneumocystomycetes; Pneumocystales; Pneumocystaceae. The record is from Rfam.